Molecule: ribosomal RNA, 446 nt
Filed under: uncultured Gammaproteobacteria bacterium
Lineage: Bacteria; Pseudomonadati; Pseudomonadota; Gammaproteobacteria
Description: bacterial SSU rRNA
Rfam family: Bacterial small subunit ribosomal RNA
Source: RNAcentral
UCCGUACGAGCGCACCCCUUAUCCUUUGUUGCCAGCACGUAAUGGUGGGAACUCUAAGGAGACUGCCGGUGACAAACCGGAGGAAGGCGGGGACGAUGUCAAGUCAUCAUGGCCCUUACGAGUAGGGCUACACACGUGCUACAAUGGUUGGUACAAAGGGAAGCAAAGCGGUGACGUGGAGCAAAUCCCAAAAAGCCAAUCGCAGUCCGGAUUGAAGUCUGCAACUCGACUUCAUGAAGCUGGAAUCGCUAGUAAUCGCAGAUCAGAAUGCUGCGGUGAAUACGUCCUCGGGCCUUGUACACACCGCCCGUCAUACCACGGGAGUGGGUUGCACCAGAAGUAGGUAGGCUAACCGUAAGGAGGCCGCUUACCACGGUGUGAUUCAUGACUGGGGUAAAGUCGUAACAAGGUAGCCGUAGGGGAACCUGUGGCUGGAUCACCUCCUU